This 1090-nucleotide long non-coding RNA is filed under the name Carassius auratus (goldfish). RNAcentral's name for it is "lncRNA (ENSCARG00000021931.1)". The record is from RNAcentral. Lineage: Eukaryota; Metazoa; Chordata; Actinopteri; Cypriniformes; Cyprinidae.
AUGUACGGUCACAUUGGAUUUGAAAACGACAUCCUUUCUUCCAUAGAUCCACGCUACCUGAAAGAAGGCCGCCUUCUGAAUCCAACGAUACCAGUUAUGUGCACAUCGGACCUACGCUUCAAAAGAUACGGACAGGUAUUGCUGGAAUGUCCCUUUAAUUUCUGCAGGAGUCCAGUCCUCCUCCCAGAGGCCCCUGGAAACCCCUUCGUUGAGGACCGUCGUCGCGUUCGUCUCCAGGUUUCUCCGAUCUGACAGAAAUAUCAGGAGCACGUCCAUCAUAUAGUUGAAGAAGGCCUGCUGCCUUUCAGUCAGCCUCUCCCGUGCAUCUGAUCUCUCUGGCCAGAAUGGCUCCAGGAUCUCGUCCAGCUCUUCGGACCGUCUCUGCUUCCGUUCAGGAGCACACUCGGCCGAGGAAGCUGGUCUCUUCUGGCCUCCUGAGUGUGCAGGAGCACCGCUGCCCUUUCCUUCCAGCUGCUUUCUCAGCUCCUCUAUCUCUUGGCCUUGCUCUGCUACGUGUGAUAUAUAUAUAUAUAUAUUAUUAUUUUUUUUUUUUAAGGCGCUGAGCUCGGUCUUGUCAUUGCAGCCAUGUCACUGAUCAUCGUUGUGCUAUUUACUGUUUCCUGGAGGUCUCUGUGUGUUUCCAUCACAUCAGAGAGAUGCUCGAUAACAAAUCUCUCGAUAGAAUUGACUCGACCGACUAACACUUCCUCAAAAGACAGGUCCAGGCCAUCUCCUUCUGAGCUGCUCAUCUUUUUAUUGUCCUGACGGAACUUUUUGCCUUGGUCUGCUACUCGAGACUUUGUUACUGGGGGGAAAAAAUUAUUAUAUUUCAAAGAACUUUCCCAGAGUUUAAUCACAAACACAAUGUAUGUAACUCACACUGAUCUAUGCUUGGACUGAAUUCUCGCGGGGUUCCAUAAAUUGGCUCAGCAGCUUCUGUUUUUGCUGUUAAAAGGUGAAGGAUAACCAUGAUAAAUUAUUUAAUUCAAGGUGACGACACCAUUUGAAGUGUGUCUUGCUUUCCAUAUAUUAACUUCAUAAAAAAAAAAAAACAACUUUAACACAAUAUGGGGGAACAUGUGUGUGCAUC